This 2900-nucleotide ribosomal RNA is filed under the name Klebsiella pneumoniae. RNAcentral describes it as "bacterial LSU rRNA". It matches the Rfam family "Bacterial large subunit ribosomal RNA". RNAcentral also lists the same sequence under 1 other name. Lineage: Bacteria; Pseudomonadati; Pseudomonadota; Gammaproteobacteria; Enterobacterales; Enterobacteriaceae. The record is from RNAcentral.
UUAAGCGACUAAGCGUACACGGUGGAUGCCCUGGCAGUCAGAGGCGAUGAAGGACGUGCUAAUCUGCGAAAAGCGUCGGUAAGGUGAUAUGAACCGUUAUAACCGGCGAUGUCCGAAUGGGGAAACCCAGUGUGAUUCGUCACACUAUCGUUAACUGAAUACAUAGGUUAACGAGGCGAACCGGGGGAACUGAAACAUCUAAGUACCCCGAGGAAAAGAAAUCAACCGAGAUUCCCCCAGUAGCGGCGAGCGAACGGGGAGCAGCCCAGAGUCUGAAUCAGCUUGUGUGUUAGUGGAACGGUCUGGAAAGUCCGACGGUACAGGGUGAUAGUCCCGUACACCAAAAUGCACAGGUUGUGAACUCGAAGAGUAGGGCGGGACACGUGGUAUCCUGUCUGAAUAUGGGGGGACCAUCCUCCAAGGCUAAAUACUCCUGACUGACCGAUAGUGAACCAGUACCGUGAGGGAAAGGCGAAAAGAACCCCGGCGAGGGGAGUGAAAAAGAACCUGAAACCGUGUACGUACAAGCAGUGGGAGCACCUUCGGGUGUGACUGCGUACCUUUUGUAUAAUGGGUCAGCGACUUAUAUUCUGUAGCAAGGUUAACCGUAUAGGGGAGCCGCAGGGAAACCGAGUCUUAACUGGGCGUUAAGUUGCAGGGUAUAGACCCGAAACCCGGUGAUCUAGCCAUGGGCAGGUUGAAGGUUGGGUAACACUAACUGGAGGACCGAACCGACUAAUGUUGAAAAAUUAGCGGAUGACUUGUGGCUGGGGGUGAAAGGCCAAUCAAACCGGGAGAUAGCUGGUUCUCCCCGAAAGCUAUUUAGGUAGCGCCUCGUGAACUCAUCUUCGGGGGUAGAGCACUGUUUCGGCUAGGGGGUCAUCCCGACUUACCAACCCGAUGCAAACUACGAAUACCGAAGAAUGUUAUCACGGGAGACACACGGCGGGUGCUAACGUCCGUCGUGAAGAGGGAAACAACCCAGACCGCCAGCUAAGGUCCCAAAGUCAUGGUUAAGUGGGAAACGAUGUGGGAAGGCACAGACAGCCAGGAUGUUGGCUUAGAAGCAGCCAUCAUUUAAAGAAAGCGUAAUAGCUCACUGGUCGAGUCGGCCUGCGCGGAAGAUGUAACGGGGCUAAACCAUGCACCGAAGCUGCGGCAGCGACACUAUGUGUUGUUGGGUAGGGGAGCGUUCUGUAAGCCUGCGAAGGUGACCUGUGAGGGUUGCUGGAGGUAUCAGAAGUGCGAAUGCUGACAUAAGUAACGAUAAAGCGGGUGAAAAGCCCGCUCGCCGGAAGACCAAGGGUUCCUGUCCAACGUUAAUCGGGGCAGGGUGAGUCGACCCCUAAGGCGAGGCCGAAAGGCGUAGUCGAUGGGAAACAGGUUAAUAUUCCUGUACUUGGUGUUACUGCGAAGGGGGGACGGAGAAGGCUAUGUUAGCCGGGCGACGGUUGUCCCGGUUUAAGCAUGUAGGCUGAUUAUCCAGGCAAAUCCGGAUAAUCAAGGCUGAGGUGUGAUGACGAGGCACUACGGUGCUGAAGUAACAAAUGCCCUGCUUCCAGGAAAAGCCUCUAAGCAUCAGGUAACAUUAAAUCGUACCCCAAACCGACACAGGUGGUCAGGUAGAGAAUACCAAGGCGCUUGAGAGAACUCGGGUGAAGGAACUAGGCAAAAUGGUGCCGUAACUUCGGGAGAAGGCACGCUGGUGUGUAGGUGAAGUCCCUGCGGAUGGAGCUGAGACCAGUCGAAGAUACCAGCUGGCUGCAACUGUUUAUUAAAAACACAGCACUGUGCAAACACGAAAGUGGACGUAUACGGUGUGACGCCUGCCCGGUGCCGGAAGGUUAAUUGAUGGGGUUAUCCGUAAGGAGAAGCUCUUGAUCGAAGCCCCGGUAAACGGCGGCCGUAACUAUAACGGUCCUAAGGUAGCGAAAUUCCUUGUCGGGUAAGUUCCGACCUGCACGAAUGGCGUAAUGAUGGCCAGGCUGUCUCCACCCGAGACUCAGUGAAAUUGAACUCGCUGUGAAGAUGCAGUGUACCCGCGGCAAGACGGAAAGACCCCGUGAACCUUUACUAUAGCUUGACACUGAACAUUGAGCCUUGAUGUGUAGGAUAGGUGGGAGGCUUUGAAGCGUGGACGCCAGUCUGCGUGGAGCCAACCUUGAAAUACCACCCUUUAAUGUUUGAUGUUCUAACGUUGGCCCCUGACCGGGGUUGCGGACAGUGUCUGGUGGGUAGUUUGACUGGGGCGGUCUCCUCCCAAAGCGUAACGGAGGAGCACGAAGGUUAGCUAAUCCUGGUCGGACAUCAGGAGGUUAGUGCAAUGGCAUAAGCUAGCUUGACUGCGAGCGUGACGGCGCGAGCAGGUGCGAAAGCAGGUCAUAGUGAUCCGGUGGUUCUGAAUGGAAGGGCCAUCGCUCAACGGAUAAAAGGUACUCCGGGGAUAACAGGCUGAUACCGCCCAAGAGUUCAUAUCGACGGCGGUGUUUGGCACCUCGAUGUCGGCUCAUCACAUCCUGGGGCUGAAGUAGGUCCCAAGGGUAUGGCUGUUCGCCAUUUAAAGUGGUACGCGAGCUGGGUUUAGAACGUCGUGAGACAGUUCGGUCCCUAUCUGCCGUGGGCGCUGGAGAAUUGAGGGGGGCUGCUCCUAGUACGAGAGGACCGGAGUGGACGCAUCACUGGUGUUCGGGUUGUCAUGCCAAUGGCACUGCCCGGUAGCUAAAUGCGGAAGAGAUAAGUGCUGAAAGCAUCUAAGCACGAAACUUGCCCCGAGAUGAGUUCUCCCUGAGACUUUAAGUCUCCUGAAGGAACGUUAAAGACGAUGACGUUGAUAGGCCGGGUGUGUAAGCGCAGCGAUGCGUUGAGCUAACCGGUACUAAUGAACCGUGAGGCUUAACCUU